UACGUAGGGGGCUAGCGUUGUCCGGAAUCAUUGGGCGUAAAGCGCGUGUAGGCGGUCCGGUAAGUCCGCUGUGAAAGUCGGGGGCUCAACCCUCGGAUGCCGGUGGAUACUGUCGGGCUUGAGUACGGAAGAGGCGAGUGGAAUUCCGGGUGUAGUGGUGAAAUGCGUAGAUAUCCGGAGGAACACCAGUGGCGAAAGCGGCCACCUGGACUGCACCUGACGCUGACACGCGAAAGCUAGGGGAGCGAACGGG
This 253-nucleotide ribosomal RNA is filed under the name uncultured bacterium. RNAcentral's name for it is "partial 16S ribosomal RNA". It matches the Rfam family "Bacterial small subunit ribosomal RNA", at positions 524 to 776 of the family's 1533-position model. The record is from RNAcentral.